ACCCCCCCCCCCCCCCCCCGCUCACCCGCCACCGCGAGAAAACUAUUAGAUGCGACACUCGGAGGACGGUGCAGCUCGAGACGUUGUGUCUCGUUGCUGUUCUUUGCUGUCACAGCUCAGAGGACGUUUUCUGAGCUGCUCUCUGACGGGCUGCACGGCAGCAGAGGGACGAGCGCUCCGCAAUCCCACCACGGCCCACAGAGUCCCCACGUUUUUCAAAGACAACGUGAGUGGGUCCGAAAUGUUCCCCUGGCAGCUGUCAAAUGCUCAGAAUGCAGAACCUUUCAUUUUCCAACUGCUACAGAAGAACCAGACAUGUGAUCUGAUCUGUGCGUCCCUCUGGUUCCCCUGAUGAGUGGUGCGUUCCUCUGGUUCCCCUGAGGUGUGAGUGCGUUCCUCUGGUUCCCCUGAGGUGUGAGUGCGUUCCUCUGGUUCCCCUGAGGUGUGAGUGCGUUCCUCUGGUUCUCCUGAUGUGUGAGUGCAUUCCUCUGGUUCCGCUGACCUGUGGUGCGUUCCUCUGGUUCCCCUGAUGAGUGGUGCGUUCCUCUGGUUCCCCUGAUGAGUGGUGCGUUCCUCUGGUUCCCCUGACCUGUGGUACGUUCCUCUGGUUCCCCUGAUGAGUGGUGCGUUCCUCUGGUUCCCCUGAUGAGUGGUGCGUUCCUUUGGGUUCCCUGACCUGUGGUGCGUUCCUCUGGUU
Gasterosteus aculeatus aculeatus (three-spined stickleback) is the source of this 697-nucleotide long non-coding RNA. The record is from Ensembl. NCBI's taxonomy places the organism in Eukaryota, Metazoa, Chordata, Actinopteri, Perciformes, Gasterosteidae.